ACCACAGUGGCCGAGCGGUUUAAGGCGGAGGUCUCAAGUGCCUUUAUCGAAAGAUGCGCAAGUUCAAAUCUUGCCUGUGGUA
Molecule: transfer RNA, 82 nt
Filed under: Acidimicrobiaceae bacterium
Lineage: Bacteria; Bacillati; Actinomycetota; Acidimicrobiia; Acidimicrobiales; Acidimicrobiaceae
Description: tRNA-Leu
Rfam family: tRNA
About the family: Transfer RNA (tRNA) molecules are approximately 80 nucleotides in length. Their secondary structure includes four short double-helical elements and three loops (D, anti-codon, and T loops).
Source: RNAcentral